UACAGAGGGGGCAAGCGUUGUUCGGAAUUACUGGGCGUAAAGGGCGCGUAGGCGGCCUUCUAAGUCGAACGUGAAAUCCCUGGGCUCAACCCAGGAACUGCGUCCGAUACUGGAAGGCUUGAAUCCGGGAGAGGGAUGCGGAAUCCCAGGUGUAGCGGUGAAAUGCGUAGAUAUCUGGAGGAACACCGGUGGCGAAGGCGGCAUCCUGGACCGGUAUUGACGCUGAGGCGCGAAAGCCAGGGGAGCAAACGGG
RNAcentral lists this ribosomal RNA (253 nucleotides) under uncultured bacterium. RNAcentral describes it as "partial 16S ribosomal RNA". It matches the Rfam family "Bacterial small subunit ribosomal RNA", at positions 524 to 776 of the family's 1533-position model. The record is from RNAcentral.